Molecule: long non-coding RNA, 2598 nt
Organism: Manis pentadactyla (Chinese pangolin)
Lineage: Eukaryota; Metazoa; Chordata; Mammalia; Pholidota; Manidae
Exons: 2
Source: RefSeq, a predicted model, not a curated record
ACACGUGGACACUGGCUCACAUCCAUAAAGUGCUUCCGUAGAUGAGGGGAUUAAGAAAGCUGCAUUGCAGGCAGGAGAACUACUUCUACCAGGUGUGUGCUUGACUGGCAAAUACCUGCUGUACCCCAGUUUCCCUGUUGUAUAAGGACAGGCCGCAAUGAGCCAUCGCUAAGGUUGUUCCAGCUCUGAUCCUGAAUCAGUUGCGGUGAUGGGGAUGCCAGGAAACUGGGUCAUUGGCCUGCUCCUGCCUGCAGAGCUCUGGGUUCCUCCUCUUACUCAACUCCAAGAUUCUAGAAGAAGACCCCAUACUCACUCUUCUUGCAGGAGGUGCAUCUGCACUCUUUGCAUUUGCAGGAGCCAGCACAGGUGCAGGAGCCAUCUACAAGGAAGACAAGGACAAGCAGGGAGCAUGAGUGUGAGACAGGAGAUUGAGGAGUCAGUCAACAAACCCUCCCUGCAGCCGCUACGCUGUCAGGUCCCAGUUUAGAAGCUCCUACCCCACACAGGGUAAAUAGAAGCCCCACCUUCUCUCUUCUGGUGCUGGGAAAAGUAGGGCACCUCCUGAUUUUGCUCCACACCCAGCUCAGGCAGAGCAGGGCUGAGGGCUAUGGCCUUAUGCCCUGAACCCUGAAAAGGCAAUGUCUCCAACCGCCAACAGCUCCUGGCAGCUACCAGAGCAGCUCUGAGUCUCCGUCCAGCAUCUCCUGAACAACCGACCAUGUGACCUUUGAAUUACAGCCUCGAGUCCCAGGAACCUCGACGCUAAAAGAGACGCAACUGGAGGUACACUGACCUGCGCCUGGGAAAGGGGCAUCGUACGGCUCCGAGCCGGGGGCCUCUUACCAGUGCAGCAGGAGCAGUUGGGGUCCAUUUCGAGCCGAGCUGAGGUGAGGCGAGCUGAGGUGAGGCGGGAGGUCCAAGCAGGUGGCAAAGCGGCAGCGGCACCUGGGCGGGAGGAGCGCGUGCUGUUGCCGAGCAAGCGCCCGCACUCACUUUAUAGGCGGAGGAGGCGGUCCGGGCGCAGAGGCCCCCCCACCUCGCCCUCCGGCCUUGCGCCCCGCCCCGCGGAGGCCGCGCGGCCCGCAGCGACGUUGGCAGGGCUGUGAAUACCCUGCCGGGCCGGGCGCACGGUCCCCGAGGACACCUGGGCUCUGUGCGCACAGCCCGUGCUGCCCUUUGGCGUCUGCUCCCAAGGAGGGGCUGUGCGCGGACCGCACGCCGUGUCCCAACCGCCCUGCCCGCCGUUCAGUUCUCUCGAUGUUGGCAGCCACCCCGUGUUCCCGAGUGUCCGGGAUGUUACCGCCUGAGUCCUCAAGGUCUUUACCCACCUCCGGCCCCGCACCGUUGGUCUCGGGUUCGUCCUUUUCCUAGUCCGUGUGCAAUCCCAGCCUCCUGCGCAAUCCCAGUUUCGUGGGCAAUCCCACCUCGUGUGCAAUCCCAGCCUCAUGCUCACCACCCUGGCUUGGCGAGAGCCCGGGAGUUGGGUGCAAACACCAGCGGUAGGUGACCUUCACUCCCCACUCGCCUUCCCCAUCCCCGCCCAGAAUUGCCUGUCCUGGACCCCACUACAGUCCUCCUGCCGCGUUUUUCCUGUACACAGUACCUAGGUGAACACAGGCCUUUUUCUCCCUUCCCUCCUUCCUUCCAUUCUCCAGGACAAAAGGGAUGUAUAGGCACAUUUGUCUAGGUGUUCCUUUUCCUAAACUUCCAGGGUUUCUUCUGCCCAGUCAGUCUACCCUACUGCAAGUGGAGGUUCCCAAAGCAUGGAGUGCCCCCCAUCCACCAGAGAAGGGAUCAUUUUAGGUGAUAGGCAGACCUAUUAAUAGGCAUUAAAUAGCAAAGUCAGAAAGGUGAUUAUUUCCCUUGUAGUAUUCCUGGCAAUUACAUAACAUUUAGACUGUGCCAGGCUUUGAUGAAUCACUUUCACUCUGUGAACACUAACAACCUUUAGGGAAAAUAUUACUGAUGAGCUGGUUCCCCAAAGGCAAACCUGUGUACAACACAGGAGUUUACCUAACUACCCCAGGGUCACAGGGCUGGAAAGCAGUGCCCUGGGUCUGAUUCCAGCCACAUCCCAAAAGAAAGAGAAAGUCCAUGAUAAAACUUCCCUUUGGCCCAGAGAAAUGUCUGCAGCCCCUCUCUACCACAUCAGGCUCAAUCCUGGGAGUGAUGAAAGUGAUACGAAAGGAAUAUACACAUGCUUUUGUGUCCUCCUUCUGUGUCUGGAUGCAAACCAAUUCUCAUUUUCCAUAGUGCUAAUGACUCUGUAUUGCAAAAAUAUAUAGUUAAGAAAAAAUAUGUUGUUUAUAAGGCAAUGUGAAGUAAAAUUACUAGUGGAGGUGGGCAGCAGAAAUGGCAGCCAUCCUUCUGUAUCCAUUAUGAGGACACAGACUGUCUCACUCAUGGCUUUAUCUCUUUAGUGCUGAUCCCUCUUUUAUAGGAAUAACCCUCUCUGGGCAACUGGUUAUGUGCGCAUGUGACUGAUGAAGAUAAAACAAGAUACACACCUAAGCAACCAGGCAUGGCUUAUUUCUUUGGAAGUAGAAUGAUAUCUCCUAUGCUAUGAAUGAUAUUAAUAAAAUAAUAGCUGAUACUAUA